Molecule: long non-coding RNA, 323 nt
Organism: Sorex araneus (European shrew)
Lineage: Eukaryota; Metazoa; Chordata; Mammalia; Eulipotyphla; Soricidae
Exons: 3
Source: RefSeq, a predicted model, not a curated record
AAUCUAACCUGCUCUGUGCAUCUCCUUGAGAUGCUAAGAAAGGAAGGGGAAGAUGGAAUGUGUUCCACCUCCAGGGGGCUAUGUCCAGCUGUUGCUCUUCAUUGAACAGACGGAAAAAAAGACACAUGAAGGGAUCAACCCCAGGGGUUCUCAGGGAACCAGAAGGUACUGGGAAUUGAGUCCAUGUUGGCUGCACACAAGGUGUAUGUGACUAGAAGGUCGAGUGGUGCUUGAAGCUAGACACCUGGUGCUGACACCCUGUUCUUGCCAACUUUGCCUAUAUUCUUCCUUCCGAGGGGCCUCGCUUCAGGACCGCUUUGCAA